Molecule: non-coding RNA, 83 nt
Organism: Cubamyces sp. BRFM 1775
Lineage: Eukaryota; Fungi; Basidiomycota; Agaricomycetes; Polyporales; Polyporaceae
Source: the annotation of a GenBank genome assembly
GGUUCAGUGGUGUAGUUGGUUAUCACGUCUGUCUCACAUUGGGUGUUCACAGGAGGUCUCCGGUUCGAGCCCGGACUGAACCA